UGGGGAAUCUUGGACAAUGGGCGCAAGCCUGAUCCAGCCAUGCCGCGUGAGUGAAGAAGGCCUUCGGGUUGUAAAGCUCUUUUACCAGGGACGAUAAUGACGGUACCUGGAGAAUAAGCCCCGGCAAACUUCGUGCCAGCAGCCGCGGUAAUACGUAGGGACCAAGCGUUGUUCGGAUUUACUGGGCGUAAAGGGCGCGUAGGCGGCUUGACAAGUCACUUGUGAAAUCUCUGGGCUUAACCCAGAACGGCCAAGUGAAACUGUCAUGCUAGAGUGCAGAAGGGGCAAUCGGAAUUCUUGGUGUAGCGGUGAAAUGCGUAGAUAUCAAGAGGAACACCUGAGGUGAAGACGGGUUGCUGGGCUGACACUGACGCUGAGGCGCGAAAGCCAGGGGAGCAAACGGGAUUAGAUACCCGUGUAGUCCCUGAGCGGGCUGGCAAGGCGCAU
RNAcentral lists this ribosomal RNA (447 nucleotides) under uncultured bacterium. RNAcentral's name for it is "bacterial SSU rRNA". It matches the Rfam family "Bacterial small subunit ribosomal RNA", at positions 355 to 825 of the family's 1533-position model. The record is from RNAcentral.